AGAAAGACAUAAGAAAAAAUGUAAGUGAUAAGAAGUGACAGAAAGGCUCAAAGAUUUAGAUGUCUGAAAAAAUCUGUGAACUAGACUGUAGACCAAAGAAAUGAAAGAGUUCUAAAAGAAUGGAAUAUGCCUGGACUCAAAAGAGCCGAACAAGUUAGGAACUCAGAAGUAUUGCAUAAAUUAGCCGCUCCUGUUUGUAGGCAUGAAAAUGAAUGUCAUAAACAGAAACAAUUAAACAAUAAAACUAAAGGAAUAGUGAAAAAAGGAGAUUGAAAUGCAGUCACAUGAAGUGGAUAUUUACAU
Nothoprocta perdicaria is the source of this 303-nucleotide long non-coding RNA. RefSeq lists it as uncharacterized. The transcript has 3 exons. The record is from RefSeq and is a predicted model, not a curated record. Lineage: Eukaryota; Metazoa; Chordata; Aves; Tinamiformes; Tinamidae.